This is an RNA transcript of Otolemur garnettii (small-eared galago), 510 nucleotides long. It is a transcript of the gene named transcription factor BTF3 pseudogene, with no coding region annotated. The transcript has a single exon. The record is from RefSeq and is a predicted model, not a curated record. Lineage: Eukaryota; Metazoa; Chordata; Mammalia; Primates; Galagidae.
AUGAAAGAAACUAUCAUGAACCAAGAGAAACUCGCCAAACUGCAGGCACAAGUGCACAGUGGUGGGAAAGGAACUGCUCGCAGAAAGAAGAAGGUGGUUCAUAGAACAGCUGCAGCAGAUGAUAAAAAACUUCAGUUCUCCUUAAGGAAAAUAGGGGUAAACAAUAUCUCUGGUAUCAAAGAGGUGAAUAUGUUUACAAACCAAGGAACAGUGAUCCACUUUAACAACCCUAAAGUUCAGGCAUCUCUGGCAGCAAACACUAUCACCAUUACAGGCCAUGCUGAGACCAAGCAGCUGACAGAAAUGCUACCCAGCAUCUUAAACCAGCUUGGUGCAGACAGUCUGACUAGCUGGAGGAGGCAGGCUGAAGCUCUGCCUGAACAAUCUGUGGAUGGAAAAGCACCACUUGCUACUGGAGAGGAUGAUGAUGGUGAAGUUCUAGAUCUUGUGCAGAGUUUUGAUGAGGCUCCAAGAAUGAGGCAAACUGAAUUGAGUCAACUUCUGAAAUGA